RNAcentral lists this small nuclear RNA (104 nucleotides) under Mus pahari (shrew mouse). The record is from RNAcentral. Lineage: Eukaryota; Metazoa; Chordata; Mammalia; Rodentia; Muridae.
GUGCUCACUUCAGCAGCACGUAUACUAAAACUGGAACAAUACAGAGAAGAUCAUGGCCCCUGCACAAGGAUGACAUGCAAAUUCGUGAAGCAUUCCAUAUUAUU